CCUACGGGCGGCAGCAGUGGGGAAUAUUGGACAAUGGGGGGAACCCUGAUCCAGCCAUGCCGCGUGUGUGAAGAAGGCCCUCGGGUUGUAAAGCACUUUCAGUGAGGAAGAACGCCUGGUGGUUAAUACCCAUCAGGAAAGACAUCACUCACAGAAGAAGCACCGGCUAACUCCGUGCCAGCAGCCGCGGUAAUACGGAGGGUGCGAGCGUUAAUCGGAAUUACUGGGCGUAAAGCGCGCGUAGGUGGCUUGAUAAGCCGGUUGUGAAAGCCCCGGGCUCAACCUGGGAACGGCAUCCGGAACUGUCAAGCUAGAGUGCAGGAGAGGAAGGUAGAAUUCCCGGUGUAGCGGUGAAAUGCGUAGAGAUCGGGAGGAAUACCAGUGGCGAAGGCGGCCUUCUGGACUGACACUGACACUGAGGUGCGAAAGCGUGGGUAGCAAACCGGAUUAGAUACCCUAGUAGUC
RNAcentral lists this ribosomal RNA (465 nucleotides) under Vreelandella stevensii. Its description in RNAcentral is "partial 16S ribosomal RNA". It matches the Rfam family "Bacterial small subunit ribosomal RNA", at positions 338 to 795 of the family's 1533-position model. The record is from RNAcentral. Lineage: Bacteria; Pseudomonadati; Pseudomonadota; Gammaproteobacteria; Oceanospirillales; Halomonadaceae.